RNAcentral lists this ribosomal RNA (865 nucleotides) under Pseudocyphellaria hirsuta. RNAcentral describes it as "LSU rRNA". It matches the Rfam family "Eukaryotic large subunit ribosomal RNA", at positions 69 to 947 of the family's 3401-position model. The record is from RNAcentral. Lineage: Eukaryota; Fungi; Ascomycota; Lecanoromycetes; Peltigerales; Lobariaceae.
CAGGGAUUGCCUCAGUAACGGCGAGUGAAGCGGCAACAGCUCAAAUUUGAAAUCUGACCCCCCCCCGGGGCCCGAGUUGUAAUUUGCAGAGGGUGCUUCGGGCGCGGCGCCGGUCUAAGUUCCUUGGAACAGGACGUCGUAGAGGGUGAGAAUCCCGUAUGCGACCGGCGGCCAAGCCCGUGUGAAGCCCCUUCGACGAGUCGAGUUGUUUGGGAAUGCAGCUCAAAACGGGUGGUAAAUUUCAUCUAAGGCUAAAUACCGGCCAGAGACCGAUAGCGGACAAGUAGAGUGAUCGAAAGAUGAAAAGCACUUUGGAAAGAGAGUCAAACAGUACGUGAAAUUGUUGAAAGGGAAGCGCUUGCGAUCAGACCGGUCCGGGGGCGAUCAGCCGCGGCUCGUCCGCGGUGCACUCGCCCUCGAUCCGGCCAGCAUCGGUCUGGGCGGCGGGAGAAAAGUCCCGGGAACGUAGCUCCUCUCGGGGAGUCUUAUAGCCCGGGUCGCCAUGCCGCCCGCCCGGACCGAGGACCGCGCUUCGGCUAGGAUGCUGGCGUAAUGGUCGCAAGCGACCCGUCUUGAAACACGGACCAAGGAGUCUAACAUCUAUGCGAGUGUUUGGGUGUCAAACCCGGGCGCGGAAUGAAAGUGAACGGAGGUGGGAACCCGUCGCACGGCGCACCAUCGACCGAUCCAGAUGUCUUCGGAUGGAUUUGAGUACGAGCAUAGCUGUUGGGACCCGAAAGAUGGUGAACUAUGCCCGGAUAGGGUGAAGCCAGAGGAAACUCUGGUGGAGGCUCGCAGCGGUUCUGACGUGCAAAUCGAUCGUCAAAUCUAGGCAUAGGGGCGAAAGACCAAUCGAACCAUCUAG